Molecule: ribosomal RNA, 479 nt
Filed under: uncultured bacterium
Lineage: Bacteria
Description: partial 16S ribosomal RNA
Rfam family: Bacterial small subunit ribosomal RNA
Source: RNAcentral
GAUGAACGCUGGCGGGAUGCCUAACACAUGCAAGCCGAGCGGUAUUGUUUCUUCGUAGAUGAUAUAGCGGCGUACGCGGGCGUAACACUUGUGCGACCUGCCUUUAUCUGGGGGAUAGCCUUUCGAAAGGAAGAUUAAUACUCCAUAAUGUAUUUAUCUUCAUCGGUUAAUAUUAAAAGCUCCGGCGGAUAUAGAUGGGCACGCGCAAGAUUAGCUAGUUGGUGAGGUAACGUCUCACCAAGGCGAUGUUCUUUAGCGGGCCUGAGAGGGUGAUCCCCCACACUGGUACUGCGACACGGACCAGAAUCGUACGGGACGCAGGAGUGAGGACCAUUGGGCACUGAGUGCAAGCGUGACACAGCCACCCCGCGUGAAGAACGCCUGCGAUAUGGGUUGUCAACUUCUUUUGAAUAGGGAUAAACCUACCAACGAGAGGCUAGUUGACGGUACUAUACCAAUAAGCCACGGCUAACUCCGUG